ACAGCAGGCAGAUCAGGAUGCCUGGUGCCUAAGGAUUUAGAAGCUGGUGUAGCUAAAUUAGCUUCCCUGAAUGGACCCCUCCACUGGAAAUGGGAAGGGGGAACUUUCCUAAAUUAAACUUCUGAAAGGCUUUCCUCACAAUUGACUGCAAUAACGAAGUAGUGUUCCAUGCUUUAUGGUGCAUAGUCACAAUGAUAUCAAAACAAAUGUCACCUCAGUGUGAGAUUCAGAUUCUUGCUGGGAACAGUGACAGGCUGUACAGCAAUCCACUUAUGCUGCUGAUAACAGUGAUGGAUGAAAGUGACAACUUGCCAGCAUUCACCCAGGAGUUUUAUCAGAUAGCAUUCGAGGAGAAUACAGCCAAAAAACUUGCAAGAGCAUUUGAAAAAUUCAUAGAUUUUGAUCUAGAAGAGGCACAGUCAUUCAUGAAGUAAUAACCUGUGAGAAAAAGCUUAGGGAGAAACAGUGGGGAAAAAAAAUAUUAAAAAGUUAUGAAACCCCCCAUUAAUCUAAUUGGAGAUGAAUCUAUCAUAUCUAAAUAUUCACUAUUUCUUAUGUCCUUCUGCUUUAAUACCUUGUUUUAUUUGUAUUUCUGCAAAGAUAAAUUAUCACAUUCUUUGUAUAAUGUGUGUUACAUAAGAACUGUC
This is a long non-coding RNA of Pezoporus flaviventris, 647 nucleotides long. RefSeq lists it as uncharacterized. The record is from RefSeq and is a predicted model, not a curated record. NCBI's taxonomy places the organism in Eukaryota, Metazoa, Chordata, Aves, Psittaciformes, Psittacidae. The transcript is spliced from 3 exons.